Cherax quadricarinatus is the source of this 774-nucleotide non-coding RNA. The record is from RefSeq and is a predicted model, not a curated record. Lineage: Eukaryota; Metazoa; Arthropoda; Malacostraca; Decapoda; Parastacidae.
UAGCCAGAAGCCCUCCUGCUGUGGUUACCAUUUCACAACCAGUAAAGAAACCACAAGCAAAUCGACGAGAAGAACUUUUGAAGCAACUUCGUGCAGUCGAAGACGCAAUUGCUCGAAAAAGAACAAAAUUGCCAACUUAGUGAUUUUAGGUAAACGAUAAUGGUAUUGCUAGGUAAGUUAAAUCAUUAUUUAUACAAAAAAAAAGUUCUUAAGCUAGUUGGCUUCUCUUGUACAUAUGAGUUAGAUGGGAAUCCACUUGUGGUUCACUAAGCCAACCCUUGAUAGCAUUUCCACUAUAAUCCACCUGGAUAGCAACUCUUGACCAAGUGAUAACAUCACAGCAUUUCAACUAAAUGACGUAAUAUCAUAGUUCAUAUACAUCACUUAAUAAAAUCAGAUAAUAAUCUGAAACACAAAUGCUGUGGAAUUAUAGUGAUAUUGAAAUUAUAUCAAUUAAAAGUUAAGCAUCUAAAAAGCAAACUAGUUACCAGUAAAAUAUGAAGUUAAAGCACUUGCAGUUAUUGACAGUUGCUGGAAACAUCAAGAGCUUUUUGUCUGUUGUAAAAAGUGGCAUUGUGACUGUAAAAAUAAAUUUGUAUAUUGUGUAAGUGGAAUAUUUUGGUUUGGAUGGUAAAUAAAAUUUGUAUUUAUGCUGUAUAAUUCAACAAAUAUUGCAUUGAACUGCAGAUUCUUAAACCCAUUUUUGUCAUAAUUUAACUUGUUUUGUAUUGAACCAUCUAGCAUUAAGACAUAAAUUUAUUAUAAUUAAAAGUA